CAAUAGCGUAUAUUAAAGUUGUUGCAGUUAGAACGCUCGUAGUCGGAUUUCGGGGCGGGCCGACCGGUCUGCCGAUGGGUAUGCACUGGUCGGCGCGUCCUUCCUUCCGGAGACCGUCCCUACUCUUAACUGAGCGGGGGCGGGAGACGGGACUUUUACUUUGAAAAAAUCAGAGUGUUUUAAGCAGGCAGCUCGCUCUUGCAUGGAUUAGCAUGGGAUAAUGAAAUAGGACUUUGGUGCUAUUUUGUUGGUUUCGAACACCGAAGUAAUGAUGAGAAGGGACAGUCAGGGGCACUCGUAUUCCGCCGAGAGAGGUGAAAUUCUCAGACCAGCGGAAGACGAACCACUGCGAAAGCAUUUGCCAGGGAUGUUUUCACUGA
RNAcentral lists this ribosomal RNA (380 nucleotides) under uncultured eukaryote. RNAcentral's name for it is "partial 18S ribosomal RNA". It matches the Rfam family "Eukaryotic small subunit ribosomal RNA", at positions 592 to 976 of the family's 1831-position model. The record is from RNAcentral.